RNAcentral lists this ribosomal RNA (560 nucleotides) under uncultured bacterium. RNAcentral describes it as "partial 16S ribosomal RNA". It matches the Rfam family "Bacterial small subunit ribosomal RNA", at positions 355 to 902 of the family's 1533-position model. The record is from RNAcentral.
UGGGGAAUAUUGCACAAUGGGCGCAAGCCUGAUGCAGCCAUGCCGCGUGUGUGAAGAAGGCCUUCGGGUUGUAAAGCACUUUCAGCGAGGAGGAAGGUGGUGAGCUUAAUACGCUCAUCAAUUGACGUUACUCGCAGAAGAAGCACCGGCUAACUCCGUGCCAGCAGCCGCGGUAAUACGGAGGGUGCAAGCGUUAAUCGGAAUUACUGGGCGUAAAGCGCACGCAGGCGGUUUGUUAAGUCAGAUGUGAAAUCCCCGGGCUCAACCUGGGAACUGCAUUUGAAACUGGCAAGCUAGAGUCUCGUAGAGGGGGGUAGAAUUCCAGGUGUAGCGGUGAAAUGCGUAGAGAUCUGGAGGAAUACCGGUGGCGAAGGCGGCCCCCUGGACGAAGACUGACGCUCAGGUGCGAAAAGCGUGGGGAGCAAAACAGGAUUAGAUACCCUGGUAGUCCACGCUGUAAAACGAUGUCGAUUUUGGAGGUUGUGCCCUUGAGGCGUGGCUUCCGGAGCUAACGCGUUAAAUCGACCGCCUGGGGAGUACGGCCGCAAGGUUAAAAACUC